Molecule: ribosomal RNA, 490 nt
Filed under: uncultured bacterium
Lineage: Bacteria
Description: partial 16S ribosomal RNA
Rfam family: Bacterial small subunit ribosomal RNA
Source: RNAcentral
GAUGAACGCUAGCUACAGGCUUAACACAUGCAAGUCGCGGGGCAGCAUGGGGGUUGCUUGCAAUCCCCGAUGGCGACCGGCGCACGGGUGAGUAACGCGUAUCCAACCUGCCCUUCACCACGGGAUAACCCGGCGAAAGUCGGACUAAUACCGUAUGUUGUCCAUUGACGGCAUCCGAUUUGGACGAAAGGCUUGGCGGUGAGGGAUGGGGAUGCGUCCGAUUAGCCAGACGGCGGGGUAACGGCCCACCGUGGCUACGAUCGGUAGGGGUUCUGAGAGGAAGGUCUCCCACACUGGAACUGAGACACGGUCCAGACUCCUACGGGAGGCAGCAGUGAGGAAUAUUGGUCAAUGGGCGUAAGCCUGAACCAGCCAAGUAGCGUGCAGGAUGACGGCCCUAUGGGUUGUAAACUGCUUUUAUGCGGGGAUAAAGUGGCCCACGUGUGGGCUUUUGCAGGUACCGCAUGAAUAAGGACCGGCUAAUUCCGUG